CCCUUAGAUGUUCGGGGCCGCACGCGCGCUACACUGAUGCAUUCAACGAGUCUAAAACCUGCUCUGAUAGGGGUGGGUAAUCUUUUGAAUGUGCAUCGUGAUUGGGAUAGAUGAUUGCAAUUUUUCAUCUUCAACGAGGAAUGCCUAGUAAACGCAAGUCAUCAGCUUGCAUUGAUUACGUCCCUGCCCUUUGUACACACCGCCCGUCGCUCCUACCGAUUGAAUGAUCCGAUGAAUAUCAUGGAUUGAGGAUGCAAGUAGGUUCGCCUAUCUUCAUCUUCGAGAAGUGAAGUAAAUCUUAUCAUUUAGAGGAAGGAGAAGUCGUAACA
RNAcentral lists this ribosomal RNA (329 nucleotides) under uncultured eukaryote. RNAcentral describes it as "partial 18S ribosomal RNA". It matches the Rfam family "Eukaryotic small subunit ribosomal RNA", at positions 1470 to 1796 of the family's 1831-position model. The record is from RNAcentral.